UUGCCCAUUUAGGGUUGCUUUGUACCAUAGAUGGCCAAUACAGAGGGGUAUAGCAUUUCUCAUAAAAACCCGUAACAGAGGUCUUGUUCCACCUUUGUUUUGGAUCCUGUCAUGAGGGACACCC
Protopterus annectens (West African lungfish) is the source of this 124-nucleotide small nucleolar RNA. RefSeq annotates it as small nucleolar RNA SNORA26. The transcript has a single exon. The record is from RefSeq and is a predicted model, not a curated record. Lineage: Eukaryota; Metazoa; Chordata; Ceratodontiformes; Protopteridae.